UCUGAUGUUAUGCAAUUACUAGCCACGCCUCUUCAGGCAAUAUAUGCGUAUAUAUAAAGGCAGUUGGGGCAGUGCAAUCAGUCACAAGCCUUCACGGAGAGACGCAGUCACACAGAGCCUCAGGACACAAGAGGAGUUACCAUGGCCAGAGUGCCUGACAUGUUUGAAGAGCUCAGUUCCUGCAACAGUGAAAAGGAGGGAUUGAUUUCGGAUAUUGACCAAGUCUCACUGAGUCAGGAGUCCUUCUACCCUACCUCCAGCCCACACCACAAAGAGAAUUGGACAAAAGUAGAGACUUCUGAGGAGACACGCCAUCUUAACUUACAAGACUGUGUGGCAGAAUCAGCUGCCCAACAGGAAAUAGAAAAGAAGAGACAACUUACCCGGAGGCAUCCCAUCACCAAUGAUUACUCGGUGAACGUUGCCAACAUUCCAGAAGAAGAUAAAGGUAAAUACCAAUGUCUUUUCCUCCAUUUCUGAGUGAAUAGUAAUAAGAAAAUGUGGGUGAUAUUGAAUCCAAA
Molecule: long non-coding RNA, 521 nt
Filed under: Phascolarctos cinereus (koala)
Lineage: Eukaryota; Metazoa; Chordata; Mammalia; Diprotodontia; Phascolarctidae
Description: lncRNA (ENSPCIG00000019171.2)
Source: RNAcentral